This 77-nucleotide transfer RNA is filed under the name Deltaproteobacteria bacterium. Its description in RNAcentral is "tRNA-Pro". It matches the Rfam family "tRNA". From Rfam's summary of the family: Transfer RNA (tRNA) molecules are approximately 80 nucleotides in length. Their secondary structure includes four short double-helical elements and three loops (D, anti-codon, and T loops). The record is from RNAcentral. Lineage: Bacteria; Pseudomonadati; Myxococcota; Myxococcia.
CGGGGCGUAGCGCAGCUUGGUAGCGCGCACGGUUCGGGACCGUGAGGUCGGAGGUUCAAAUCCUCUCGCCCCGACUA